This 971-nucleotide long non-coding RNA is filed under the name Cyanistes caeruleus (blue tit). Its description in RNAcentral is "lncRNA (ENSCCEG00000001439.1)". Lineage: Eukaryota; Metazoa; Chordata; Aves; Passeriformes; Paridae. The record is from RNAcentral.
GUGGAGUAUUGGGUGCUUGCCCCUCUUCUAUCUCCUUCAAUCUGAUUUUGGCUGUACAUUCUUCCCAGCACUGCUCCUGGCCAGAGUUCAUGCAUGGGAAGAAGUUGCUGCUCGUGACAUGUACUGUGUUGGUUAACUCUCAGCAUCAUGAGCUCUGUGCUCCCUCUCAGAGCUCAUGUACCUCCCUGUACCUUUUCCUUCUCCUCUCCUAGCUUGAUGCCCAUCCUCAGCUGCCUCUGAUGCAGGGUGUCACCCUUGCCUAACUGUAUCUUGGAGCUCAGCUAAGAGGGUGCAUCUGAUGGGUCCUUUUGAAAGGUGAUGCUCAGAAGUGUUCAGAAGUGGAGGGAUCCUGACAGUGAGGAACCACCACUGCAGGUUGUUGAUGUGGCCAGGGCAGCAUUUGGAUUUUGCAGGUGGAGUUUGCCGUGGGAUCUGCUGUGUUCAGAGAGGCUCAGCAUCAAACCCCUCUUGUACUGCAACCCACAACUUGCUGUGGGCUUGUGGGAGCCAAAGGUGCCCUGGGGUGAGGCAGCAUCAGCCGAGUUUUUCCACGGGCAAAGGAUGCUAUAGGGUGAGUGAGCGACAAGCUGGAUUGGGCAUUUUGCGGGUCAGCAUUGUGUCCCAUGGGCUGUAGGCUGGGCAUGGAUGUCCGGGUAGCUGGGCUGAGCAGGGUUUUGCAGGGUCCAGUUUCAGGACCCUGUAGGGGUCCCAGACAGCAACUGGCUGCUGCCACUCAGCUCACCCGGCUGCUUUUUGGUAAAGAUGUGGGAGGAGGAUGAGUUUUUGAAAUCACUUUGUGUAGGCUCAUAGAAUUGCUUCUGCUUAUUUAUGUACUCACAGUUCCUGUCUCUGGGUGGUUCUUACAACUCCAGAGGCCAGUACUUUUUCCUCCUCUAAAUUAAAGCGUUGUUGUGGCAACAUGUUGUCUGUAAGUGUCUGCAGGCCCUCCGUUGCUCUCAGUGUUGUGCACU